UAAAAGUACAAACGAACCCUUCAGGAG
RNAcentral lists this non-coding RNA (27 nucleotides) under Homo sapiens (human). The record is from RNAcentral. Lineage: Eukaryota; Metazoa; Chordata; Mammalia; Primates; Hominidae.